RNAcentral lists this ribosomal RNA (979 nucleotides) under human gut metagenome. RNAcentral describes it as "bacterial SSU rRNA". It matches the Rfam family "Bacterial small subunit ribosomal RNA", at positions 92 to 1069 of the family's 1533-position model. The record is from RNAcentral.
CGACCGGCGCACGGGUGAGUAACACGUAUGCAACCUGCCCCUGUCAGAGGGAUAAUCCGGAGAAAUCCGGUCUAAUAUCGCAUAAAGCGUUUGCGGGGCAUCCUGCGAGCGCCAAAGGAGUAAUCCGGACAGGGAUGGGCAUGCGGCGCAUUAGCUAGUUGGGGGGGUAACGGCCCACCAAGGCGACGAUGCGUAGGGGUUCUGAGAGGAAGGUCCCCCACAUUGGUACUGAGACACGGACCAAACUCCUACGGGAGGCAGCAGUGAGGAAUAUUGGUCAAUGGGCGGAAGCCUGAACCAGCCAAGUCGCGUGAGGGAAGACGGCCCUAAGGGUUGUAAACCUCUUUUGCCGGGGAGCAAAAGCGCCGUGCGCGGUGCUAUGAGAGUACCCGGAGAAAAAGCAUCGGCUAACUCCGUGCCAGCAGCCGCGGUAAUACGGAGGAUGCGAGCGUUAUCCGGAUUUAUUGGGUUUAAAGGGUGCGUAGGCGGACAGUUAAGUCAGCGGUCAAAACGGGCGGCUCAACCGCCUGCCGCCGUUGAAACUGGCAGUCUAGAGUGGGCGAGAAGUACGCGGAAUGCGCGGUGUAGCGGUGAAAUGCAUAGAUAUUGCGCAGAACUCCGAUUGCGAAGGCAGCGUACCGGCGCCCGACUGACGCUGAGGCACGAAAGCGUGGGGAUCGAACAGGAUUAGAUACCCUGGUAGUCCACGCAGUAAACGAUGGACACUAUCUGUUCGGGUCGAGAGAGAUCUGAGUGGCACAGCGAAAGCGUUAAGUGUCCCACCUGGGGAGUACGCCGGCAACGGUGAAACUCAAAGGAAUUGACGGGGGCCCGCACAAGCGGAGGAACAUGUGGUUUAAUUCGAUGAUACGCGAGGAACCUUACCCGGGCUCAAACGCACGACGGCGGCACGUGAAAGCGUGCUUACCUACGGGACGUUGUGCGAGGUGCUGCAUGGUUGUCGUCAGCUCGUGCCGUG